AGGAGUGUAGAGGGGGUGGGCAGGCUACAGGACCCUGGACAGAGAAGUACUGGCAGAGACCGAGGGGAAUGUGAAGGAGCUCCAGGCUGGCUGCUGGGGCUCAACCAGGACAAGGCCCCCAGGCUACUGUAUGAUUUUCAGUGACAAGCCCCAGGAAAAGUGCAAGGAGGUCCUACAGCACUGCAGAAAGGAGCCCCAGGCCUACAGUUCCCAGACUUUCCACUGAGCAUAGCUGGGCAAAGCAGAUGGAAACCUUCACGAAAAGCUUCCCAUCUUAUUUUGCUUUUUAACAUAACAGAUAAAGGGGUGAUGGAUCCAGAAGGAGGUGUCUUUCCAAACUUCACCGCUUGUAUGAUUUUAAUCACUGUCGUUUUGAAGCAGUUAAACAUAUUGCAUCAGCUCCAGCCAGGAGAUCAGACAGCAUCAAACCAGUUUAUGAAAAAAAUUUUGAACAAACUUAACGACACUAUGUAACCUUCUUGAUUUUUUUUUUCAGUCCCAUUGUUAGGAGAUUGUUGUUUACCAACUAUGUAGAAACAUACAAAGCAUCCCUACGUUUUAAUCUGUUCAGGGUUGCUUUGCGGAUGGGCAGCAACAUGCACAUUGAAAAUGGCUCCGAUCAUGCUGUGGUCAGUCCAACAGUUUGCACCUCACAUCACUCUGGUGAUCGUGCUGUCUGAUGUCCCUUUGCCAUUUAAUGACCUAGCCAGUCAGGUGCCAAUGCUUGGCUCUCAGGUGCAGCCAACAAGUUUUUUUUUUAAUUUGUCAGCUUUCCUAAGAAAUAGUGAGCGGGUGCUCAGCACACAUGCAAAGGAGACCAUUGCUUUUCAUAUUUCUGGCUCCAUUAUUCUAUAUUACACCACUCUAAGCCUGACAGUCGGAACAGAUUAAACUGCAGUUGAAUAAAGACAUCCAUUUCAUCAGGAAAACCUGGAGGAAACAACUGAUUGCAUUAUUGCAUGAUGUAAUGCAAUCAUAAAGUUGAAUAUACUCAAAUUAGCCACCCUUCAAGCCUCAGAAGAACUCUAGGUAAAACUCAAAGAUGCCACCAGGACUGGUUUGAUGAAAACACUGAAGAAAUCAAAGAUCCUCAAGGAAAAGAAUGAUGCAUUUAUAUCUUGGCAAAAUGAUAAAAAAAGCAACCUAAAAUAAAGACAAGUUCAAGUACCUGCAAGCCACAACUCGGAGCUGGCUUUAUGUUCUCUGUGAUAUACAGCAUUACACCAGUACUAACAACACAUUGUUUUACGACUCCCUGAAGGCGAUCUAUGGUGCAUCAGAAUUGGGGCCAGCUCAAAAAGUUCAGAUGGCUCUACUCUAACUAGAGACAAAAGAGGACUCUCUGACAGUGCAGCAAUUUACUGAGCUACUCCACCAUCUUCCUACUGGCAACCCACUGGUGAUAGAGGAACUGAUCCAGCACCCCAUGCAUGAAGAAAUUGCCCAGUUACCACAAAGGAAGUGCAAAAUGCUAUUAAAGAAACUAAGUCAAGUAAAUCAACAGGGUAAGACAGUGUACCAGCUGAAAUCUAUAAACUUGCAGGCCCUAAAACUGUCAACUAAGAGAAUUCCUCAGGAUGUCAAAGAUGCAAUCCUAGUUAUGCUAUAUAAAAAUAAAGCCAACAGAUACCCCAGUAGUUGCUACAGUUGUAUCUCCCUUCUAUCUGUAGGUGGUAAACCCUUGUCUGUAUUUUGCUCAAUCAGCUUCUUGAAACAAUAUCAAACAAGCAUCUACCAGAGAUCCCCAAUGUGGUUUCAGAUCAGGUCAGAGCACCAUAGACAUAUUUAUUGUGAGGCAGAUUCAGGAAAAAUACGUUGAAUGAAACAUGGAACUAUGGCCGUAUUCAUUGGUAUAAAU
Molecule: long non-coding RNA, 1858 nt
Organism: Chelonia mydas (Green sea turtle)
Lineage: Eukaryota; Metazoa; Chordata; Testudines; Cheloniidae
Exons: 3
Source: RefSeq, a predicted model, not a curated record